This 104-nucleotide transfer RNA is filed under the name Rhodocollybia butyracea. Its description in RNAcentral is "tRNA-Ala". It matches the Rfam family "tRNA". From Rfam's summary of the family: Transfer RNA (tRNA) molecules are approximately 80 nucleotides in length. Their secondary structure includes four short double-helical elements and three loops (D, anti-codon, and T loops). The record is from RNAcentral. Lineage: Eukaryota; Fungi; Basidiomycota; Agaricomycetes; Agaricales; Omphalotaceae.
GGGCAUAUGGUGUAGGGGUUAUCAUGAAGUUCGUUUUGCAUUCCAACACCUGCUGGAGCAUCCGUAAAUGUGAAAGGUCUCCGGUUCAAAUCCGGAUUUGUCCA